CCUCGCCAUACUGCUCAGUAACACGUGGUUAACCUGCCCUAAGGUGGAGAAUACUCCCGGAAAACUGGGGCUAAUGCUCCAUAGUGGAUAUGUCCUGGAAUGGUAUAUCCUCGAAAGAUCCGUCGCCUUAGGAUGGGACUGCGUCCGAUUAGGUUGUUGGCGGGGUAACGGCCCACCAAGCCAUUGAUCGGUACGGGUUGUGGGAGCAAGAUCCCGGAGAUGGAUUCUGAGACAUGAAUCCAGGCCCUACGGGGCGCAGCAGGCGCGCAAACUUUACAAUGCGAGCAAUCGUGAUAAGGAAACCCUGAGUGCCUGUCGAUGCAGGCUGUUCAUAUAUCUAAAUCAUAUGUGAAGAAAGGGCAGGGCAAGACCGGUGCCAGCCGCCGCGGUAAUACCGGCUGCUCGAGUGAUGGCCACUAUUACUGGGUUUAAAGCGUCCGUAGCUUGACUGUUAGGUCUCUUGGGAAAUCUUCACGCUCAACGUGAAGGCGUCUAAGAGAUACCGGCAGUCUUGGAACUGGGAGAGGUAAACCGUACUUCGGGGGUAGGAGUGAAAUCUUGUAAUCCUCGAGGGACGACCUAUGGCGAAGGCAGUUUACCAGAACAGCUUCGACAGUGAGGGACGAAAGCUGGGGGAGCAAACGGGAUUAGAUACCCCGGUAGUCCCAGCCGUAAACAAUGUGCGUUAGGUGUGUCGGUAACCACGUGUUACUGAUGCGCCGAAGAGAAAUCGUGAAACGCACCACCUGGGAAGUACGGUCGCAAGGCUGAAACUUAAAGGAAUUGGCGGGGGAGCA
RNAcentral lists this ribosomal RNA (797 nucleotides) under uncultured archaeon. Its description in RNAcentral is "bacterial SSU rRNA". It matches the Rfam family "Archaeal small subunit ribosomal RNA", at positions 76 to 878 of the family's 1478-position model. The record is from RNAcentral.